This is a long non-coding RNA of Perognathus longimembris pacificus (Pacific pocket mouse), 324 nucleotides long. RefSeq lists it as uncharacterized. Lineage: Eukaryota; Metazoa; Chordata; Mammalia; Rodentia; Heteromyidae. The transcript has 3 exons. The record is from RefSeq and is a predicted model, not a curated record.
AGGAAGAAAAUCAUGUAUUUAAAGUUGAAUAUCAAGUGGUUGUGUUGGGAAGUGUGGCAUUUCUGAUAAGUCAUGAAGGUAAAGAUCUCGUGAAAGAAUUCACAGGCUUGUCCACUGGUCCCCUCAACCAUGAGAGGUAGGAAAGAGCCCUCAUAGACACUGGAUUUUCUGGAGACCUGAUCUCAGAAUUCUCAACCUCCAGAAUUAUGUGAAAUAAAUUUCAUGUGUGUGUCUGUGUCUGUGUCUGUGUGUCAGUGUGUGUCCAUCAUUGGGCUGAAUUCAAGGCCUGGGCGCUAUCCCUGAACUUUUGUGCUCAAGGUUAGC